UACGUAGGGGGCAAGCGUUGUCCGGAUUUAUUGGGCGUAAAGAGCGUGUAGGCGGCCAAGCAGGUCCGCUGUGAAAACUCGAGGCUCAACCUCGAGAGGUCGGUGGAAACCGUUUGGCUAGAGUCCGGAAGAGGAGAGUGGAAUUCCCGGUGUAGCGGUGAAAUGCGCAGAUAUCGGGAAGAACACCCGUGGCUAAGGCGGCUCUCUAGUACGGUACUGACGCUGAGACGCGAAAGCGUGGGGAGCGAACAGG
Molecule: ribosomal RNA, 253 nt
Filed under: uncultured bacterium
Lineage: Bacteria
Description: partial 16S ribosomal RNA
Rfam family: Bacterial small subunit ribosomal RNA
Source: RNAcentral